RNAcentral lists this ribosomal RNA (231 nucleotides) under Gammaproteobacteria bacterium. RNAcentral describes it as "partial 23S ribosomal RNA". It matches the Rfam family "Bacterial large subunit ribosomal RNA", at positions 2700 to 2925 of the family's 2925-position model. The record is from RNAcentral. Lineage: Bacteria; Pseudomonadati; Pseudomonadota; Gammaproteobacteria.
GACGUACCUCUGGUGUUCCGGUUGUCACGCCAGUGGCACCGCCGGGUAGCUAUGUGCGGACGAGAUAACCGCUGAAAGCAUCUAAGCGGGAAGCUUUUCCCAAGAUAAGGUCUCACCGGGGACUUGAUCCCCCUGUAGGGCCCUCGAAGACGACGAGGUUGAUAGGCCGGAUGUGGAAGCGCGGUAACGCGUGAAGCUGACCGGUACUAAUUGCCCGUGAGGCUUGACCAU